RNAcentral lists this unclassified non-coding RNA (391 nucleotides) under soil metagenome. RNAcentral describes it as "partial contains 5.8S ribosomal RNA, internal transcribed spacer 2, and large subunit ribosomal RNA". The stretch from base 1 to 122 matches the Rfam family "5.8S ribosomal RNA", at positions 35 to 154 of the family's 154-position model. The record is from RNAcentral.
GAUGAAGAACGUAGUGAAAUGCGAUACUUGGUGUGAAUUGCAGAAUCCCGUGAACCAUCGAGUCUUUGAACGCAAGUUGCGCACGAAGCCAUUAGGCCGAGGGCACGCCUGCCUGGGCGUCACACGUCGUUGCCCCCCCAUCUAAUCCUUCGGGAUUGCGGGGGGCGGAUGAUGGCCUCCCGUGCGCCUCGUCGCGCGGUUGGCAUAAAUGCCAAGUCCUCGGCGACGCACGCCACGACAAUCGGUGGUUGCGAAACCUCGGUUGCCCGUCGUGUGCGGUCGUCGCGCAUCGAGGGCUCGAAAAAAUUGCCGGGCUCCGGCUCGACUUUCAACGCGACCCCAGGUCAGGCGGGGUUACCCGCUGAAUUUAAGCAUAUCAAUAAGCGGAGGA